This 497-nucleotide ribosomal RNA is filed under the name uncultured bacterium. RNAcentral describes it as "partial 16S ribosomal RNA". It matches the Rfam family "Bacterial small subunit ribosomal RNA", at positions 28 to 507 of the family's 1533-position model. The record is from RNAcentral.
GAUGAACGCUGGCGGCGUGCCUAAUACAUGCAAGUCGAGCGAACGGACGAGAAGCUUGCUUCUCUGAUGUUAGCGGCGGACGGGUGAGUAACACGUGGAUAACCUACCUAUAAGACUGGGAUAACUUCGGGAAACCGUAGCUAAUACCGGAUAAUAUUUUGAACCGCAUGGUUCAAAAGUGAAAGACGGUCUUGCUGUCACUUAUAGAUGGAUCCGCGCUGCAUUAGCUAGUUGGUAAGGUAACGGCUUACCAAGGCAACGAUGCAUAGCCGACCUGAGAGGGUGAUCGGCCACACUGGAACUGAGCCACGGUCAAGACUCCUAAGGGAGGCAGCAGUAGGGAAUCUUCCGCAAUGGGCGAAAGCCUGACGGAGCAACGCCGCGUGAGUGAUGAAGGUCUUCGGAUCGUAAAACUCUGUUAUUAGGGAAGAACAUAUGUGUAAGUAACUGUGCACAUCUUGACGGUACCUAAUCAGAAAGCCACGGCUAACUACGUG